Molecule: ribosomal RNA, 426 nt
Filed under: uncultured bacterium
Lineage: Bacteria
Description: partial 16S ribosomal RNA
Rfam family: Bacterial small subunit ribosomal RNA
Source: RNAcentral
GUGAGGAAUUUUCCGCAAUGGGCGAAAGUCUGACGGAGCAAUGCCGCGUGAAGGAUGAAGGCCUAUGGGUUGUAAACUUCUUUUCUCAGAAAAGAAUUAUGACGGUAUCUGAGGAAUAAGCAUCGGCUAACUCUGUGCCAGCAGCCGCGGUAAGACAGAGGAUGCAAGCGUUAUCCGGAAUGAUUGGGCGUAAAGCGUCUGUAGGUUGUUUAAAAAGUAUUCUGUCAAAGAUUAGGGCUUAACCCUAGAUAGGCAGAAUAAACUUUUAAGCUAGAGUUUGGUAGAGGCAGAGGGAAUUCCCGGUGGAGCGGUGAAAUGCGUAGAUAUCGGGAGGAACACCAAAGGCGAAGGCACUCUGCUGGGCCAAUACUAACACUGAGAGACGAAAGCGAGGGGAGCAAAUGGGAUUAGAUACCCGAGUAGUCC